Molecule: unclassified non-coding RNA, 4267 nt
Filed under: Dermacentor andersoni
Lineage: Eukaryota; Metazoa; Arthropoda; Arachnida; Ixodida; Ixodidae
Description: gamma-tubulin complex component 6-like
Source: RNAcentral
UGGAUCGAAUUUGAGCGAGGCGUCGUGUCGUUGGCGUCGUGUGUUAUGGCUGUAGCGGGCUGUAAUCAACGGUCAUAUUCACUGGAAUCUCGGGAUUAGCUUGUGGCUCUUGAGUUCCCUCCGUGCUUGGAUCGAAUUUCAGCGAUCGAGCGCCGGCAUUGCUUGCUGUAGAGUACUUUGUGUGCGAUGGAGGUGGAUGUUCCCACUCUUGUCACCAAACUGUGCACAUUGGCGGCCGGUGGCGCUAAGUCGGACGUGCCCGUCAAGGAGCUGAGGAAGCUGGCCUUCUCCAUUCUACUGAAGUUGGACCAUAGGCCGGCGACAUCGCCUGGUACGUGGGAUGUACCCGUUGAAGACCGUGUCCUGGCCAAAGCAUUUGCAAUGCAGCUACAGGACAGGCAUCGAGAUGCACUGCAGCUUAGGGCAUGCAUCACUCAGCUCAAAAAGGGUCAUGAGCACUGUUCACAGGAGGUGCGAGCAUGCUUGGAGUUCCUGCUUCACAUGGCUGACAGUGGGCCUCCAAGUGCAAAGCAGCAAGCACACUCCCUGUUCUUCGAGCUACACCCAACUGCCCCAGGCAAUGAACAAGUUCCACCUUGUUUGGUUCCUGGUAUCCCAUCUCUUCGUGAAUAUCCAAGGCAGCUUUUUGAGCACCUUGAUGAUGACCUGCAGGCCAUGGACAACCAAGGCAACCUUGUUCUUCCAGGACUGUGUGCAGCUGAGCCUGGGUGUGACCUCAAUGGGAACCCUUUGUUCAGCCUGCACAGCCAGAGCUUGAAGCCAGCCCCUAGCGACAUCCCAGUCAGAGUGCCACCGCUCACUGCAUUCACGAGACACAGGGUCCUGAGCAAGUUCUCCAAGGGCCCAGAAAAGCUCGAGCCCUUGCCAGCAGUAAAACGGCCAUCAAAGCAAGCUCAGCCAGACAGGCUGCCCCUGACUGAGGAAGACUGGCAGUACGUCAUGCGUGCAGGGAGAAGGAAGCACUUCACCUGGGAGAGUGUUAGAUGUGUGACAAGCACAAGGGAGCAGCCAUUUGUGACCGAGGCUGGUGAGGGUGCAGGAGAAGCUGUGUGCCAGAUACGGAUGACGAGCCUGGCUUCCUUGAUUGGAGCCAUGCCAGCAGCUCCAGUGCAACCCAAGAGCCUUGUCCGAAAGGCACUGCUGCUGCUCGUGGGAAUUCCAUCAGAUGUUUUUCCCUAUGAUCCUGUGCUGCACAGGUUCAGCAUCCAAGACGGGACGCGACUGAAAGGCACAUCGUCUGAAGCCCUUGCUGCAUCACUUCAAUGCUUCCUGGAAUGUGGCAGGGACAUCCGCUUUCUGGAAGACGUUGUCUCCAGCAAUCUAUCUGGGAACAUCAAGCCUCCCCUGACGUGGCAGGCAUUUGUUGGAGCACUGAGGCGCUUCCUGCACUGCUUUCAUGGCUGCCUGGUGCCCAUGGCAGGACGUGCCGACACGCUUACCAUCCUUCAGCUACGUCACAUUGUGAGCCGACUUUGCGACCACGUGAGGUUCACCACAGACAUUUGCCGCAAUGUAGUUCAAGUACAGGGGGCUCCCUCACAACGAACGCAAAGCAUGCUGCUACUGCACAAUCUCUGUCAACAUGCCAAGAGCUGCUGGGGCCAGGAGGCAUCAUCCAUCGUGGCAUUCCUUCUUCAGCAGAGCUGCCAGCCUUACCUCCGGUUUUUGGAGGAGUGGCUCUAUGAUGGACGUUGCAACGACCCAUAUGGAGAAUUCCCCAUUCUGAUACACAAGCAGGAGGUGGAGAUGCGAGAUGAAAGCUUCUGGGAGAAAGGAUUCCAGUAUGCAGCCUCGGAGGCUCCAUUCCUUGCCACUUUCAUGCCAAAUGUCUUCACCAGCGCCAAGAGUGCCAUGCUGCUCAAAGUCUGCAAGCCUGAGAGUCGCCUUCUGUGGAGCAAGCAGCUGCGACCUGAGUUGAGGUUGGCUUUCAGCAACCUUCAACUGGAUGAGACCAGGGAGUCGUCAGAGUGCUACAGCCGUGCCAUGGAGUCUGAGCUCACGCUGACACCACUUCCAGAGAUUUGCCUUGGACUUGAUCCACAUGUGGAGAUCCCAAAAGAAUGGAUCAAAGCUCAAGAGGAACGAGUUGACAGAAGAAGUCGUCUGCUUUAUGCAAUUCCUCGGUCUCCGAGCUCUAAUUCCAGGUGUCUGUCUUCACCGUGCAUUAAGAGGGCUGCACAACCUGCACAUGGGAUUCCACCAACUACAGCAGCCAGCGUCAGCCAUGAUGACCUGCUCUACUCAGUUAUAACUGGCACACACAUGAGAGUAACUGGCAGGUCGACAAGCCGUGUUGCCAUGGAAACAGAGCAGCCCAGUAACUUGGGACUUUUCUGUGAAGCAGCAGGGACAUAUGAAAGAAAUGGACAACGGAACAUCUUUGGUCAUGCAUCUGAUUCCCAACUUCAUGACAUCCUCUAUCCUGACUGUGCUGGUAAAGUGUCUAGCAAAGGAAACCAAAGCACAGCAGAGAGGAAUGUUGAAAACAUGGCAGCUGAGGUUGGCAUAGGUACACCGACCAGAAUCACCUCAAGUCCCAAUUUGAAACCCAUGAUGUUAUCUGGUAGCAGAACUGACCGUGGGAGACCAGAAUUGCUGCUGGAAGAACCAAGUGCUUCUGGAGUGUCACCUGACAGUCCUUGCUUGUGUGGGCACUCGUUUGAAGACAACAGCUAUGAAAGUGAGGGGAAAGGGCUGAACCAGUCUUGUGGUGACAAUCCUGGUUUGCUGCUCCCGGAGCCCACUUGUGACGAGGCACACAGUGCUGAGGACGGCGGUGGAGAUGCCAGCAUGUUGGCUGCUGACAGAGAAAGCAGCAUACCUACCACUGCAAAUGAGUCCUACCCUGUGGCCUUGAAGAUGACUGCCGCUGAGACCGCUGCACGCCGUUCCCCUGCAGCGCUCGGCCUUCGUGAGCGACUGACCGCCCCAGGGCCUGAACGCGGAUCCACUCUGGAGCCUCUGGCAUCAUCUAAGCUGGCAUUCUUCAUGCCAGACAGCACCUUUGGCGACUGGGCUCUUGAUGGUGGACUAUGCAGUCUCCCUCUGGAGAUUGCCAUGAAGCGCUCCCUGCUUCCCCCAUUGAUAGCACAGAUGAAGCUGCUGAAUCGGGUGUGUGUGUCCUACUUUGUGAUUGAGCUGCGGCUUUAUGACCACCUGGAGGCACUCACCAACUAUUUCUGCUUUCAAGAUGGCGAGUUUGGACAGGCACUGUGCGACGCCAUAUGCCACAAGCUCAAGUCACCCAUGCACUCACCAGCAGAAUUUUUCAACCCAAGGACGCUCAACUGGAUUCUCUCUCAAGCCUUGAGCUCAUCUCUGCAUGGAGAGAGUGCAGAGGCAGCAAACCUGAGCCUUGAUGCAUGCAGCAUUCCUUUUGUCAUCCCUCCCGGCCAGAACGUCGUGAACUGCCUUUCAAUGAGCUACAAGGUGGAGUGGCCACUGAACGUGGUGAUCACCCAGGCUUGUCUGCUGCGCUACAACAAGAUAUUCCGCUUCCUCCUCAGCUUGAGGCGAGCCUUAUGGGCGCUUUCAGAUAUCUGGAGCCGUCUCAAGCCAUCUGCACUCCCCAGGAAGCCAGACUCAUCACUGGAAUUGAGGCAACUUCAGCUGAUGAGGCAUGAGAUGCUACACUUUGUGCACAUGGUCCAGUCGUACGUGGGCAGUCAAGUCAUGCAGGCAUCGCUUGCAGAGCUACGUGCCGAACUCAACAAAGAGGCGCAGUCUGUUGAUGACCUCCGCAAUGCCCACUUUGCCUUCCUCAAGCGGCUCAGCCAGCGAUUGCUUCUGGGACGUAGGGCGGUACCUGUCCGCAAGUUACUGCACGAAGCGCUCAACACGGUGCUUUUCUUCCAAGCUGAGCUUGCAGAGUACUCAUGGUGCAUUCAGGAUGGUGUUCAGCUGAGCCAUCCAUCUUUUGCCAAGUUUGUAGCUGCCCACACCAAGUUUCAGAAAACUGUGGCCACACUGCAGACAGCUUGGCUCUCGGACGCUAUGGGAGCUCCCAGGCACACAGUGAGCAAGGACCACGAAACUGCCCGUGCUGGGCAACGCUCGCUUUCCUAUAAUGGCAGAAAAUGAAACUUCAGGGAGCGGGCUAAGCUAGCCCGAGGUCGGCGCGGAGGCGAGCACGUGCGGAGACCAUCGAAGCAUCAAGGAGCCUUCACAUGUCGCAGUACCCGACGAACUGUCUCAAGCUCUCAGAGGUGCUCGACUUCAGUGCAUUCCAGUGGCCUGAGCAAGGCAC